CUCGUGAAUUAAGUGAGAUAAGUCGUAACAUAGUAGUUGUACCGGAAGGUGUGGCUGGAAUAAUCAAAUC
This 70-nucleotide transfer RNA is filed under the name Malaccina discoidalis. RNAcentral's name for it is "tRNA-Val". Lineage: Eukaryota; Metazoa; Arthropoda; Insecta; Blattodea; Blattellidae. The record is from RNAcentral.